AUAGCCUUAAUUGAUGUGAAGGUCAUACUUGUAAAUCAUUAGGAUAUACAUGUGUGUGCAUAUUUACACACACAAUAUGAAAUGUGUUCCACAUGAUGGUGAAGAUGAUGGUGCAGUGUGUUUCCAUCCAGUUGGUGGGCUGGCUGGGAGCCAAGCAGACUCAGGGUCUCGGGAAAUGGCGAUCUAAUGCCCAUGUCCUGGGCUGGUGGCACCAGGCAGGUAUGCCACUGAUUGUGAGCAUGCUCCCAGCAGAGCCCCACCAUGACCCAAACGGCAAGUGCCUCCUGCAAGAGGAGAUGGGGCACACCCAGUGCUCUGCCGGGGGUGAGCACAGCACAAAACACUUUAGGUGAGAAAAGCUCGAGAAAUAAUGUGUAAUAUCUUUGCAAUGUAUAGGGGUUCACUUCCAACUGUGGAAUAGCAGCCAGAUUUGGGGAUGGAGGUGGUUUCCAGGUGCAGGCUCUGGAAGGAGGUCUCUCCUCAGCUCCCAGAUGCCCUGCCUAAAGCCUGUGUUCCCGUAUACCCCCGAGACUGAGGCGCUGUCCCAGCUGAGACCUAGCCAGGCUGCCCAGCUGUAGUGGAGGCCACACAGACCGGUGAGGACCUGUCACCCUGGCUGAUCCACGGAGGUGGCAGACCUGUUGUACUGAUUCCAGGACAACUACUAGAAAACGUGGGGAUCUGAUCAAAGAGGUUGUGUGCCCAUGUUCCCUCCUUGGCAUGUUGAUGCCGCCUGAGGAGAAAUAAUCAUUCAGGGCCACUUUACUAGGUUCUCAUCCACAGGCCUCCUGAGAUACUGGUCUAUGUUAGGCCUCUGGAUUCAGCCAGGCUGAAGGCAUGGCCCAGUAGUCCACCACUGGUCGUUACAGUCUGGCUCCACUCCUGCCCCUGCACCACCAGCCCAUUGGUCACCAACCUAAAGCAGAAAAUGUGCUAAGUGGCAGCAAAGUGACUUUUAAAAUACUUUCCCACCUACCUACAUCAAAUCAAUAAGGCCUUGUCAGGCGUGCCUGCUUCCUGAGAGGGGCUGUGCCCAACUCCUGGAGCAGAGACCUCACGGCAGCUGCAAGGCUGACCUCCCACCGCUACAGCGGAGGCAACCAGGCCAGUGUAUGCCUGACGGGUGGGCACACAGCGCACCUGCAGAAGGCAGCUGGGCAGGGACUGCCUGCAUGGAACCAACACAUGGGCAGCAUGGACGUAAGAUGUCAGAGCUUCCAUACUCUCCUUGUUUUAGGAGGGGUUACACGAUUUGGACAGCUUAAAAUGUUAGGUGCCUUCUGUGUAAAGUUUCAGACUUUUCUUGGGUUAGACUAGAAGGCAGGACCAGGAGGGGCUGGCAGGGCAUCAGGCCGUCCUCAAGGUCGUCUGGCUGGGGCAGCAGGGAGCACCUGGUGGCACAGAGAGCUGCUUUUCCCCAGCAAACUUCUAUGUGACCAACAACUAGAUGAGAUUUUUAAAGAUGCGAGUGUUUCCAACUCCACGAAUAUUAUUAACUUCACUUUACAGAGGGUGAUACUGAUGUGGGAUACCAGGGAUUUAUCUUUUAAAGUUUACUGGAGGAAAUAAAAUCCCAAAUAUCCCCAAACUCUAAUUGUUCCAAAGAUCGGUGCUCAGGGAAGUGAGUGGAGAGUCACAGAGCUCAAUUCUUUCUGACUAGCACUGCGUCUCGAGGCCUCUGCAAGUUCCUCCAGGUCAUCGACUCUUGGCAGCACUUUUAUCCACAUUCAUUCUACUUUCUGAAAGUUUAAGUCAGUUGUUUAGAAUUGACUCUUUAUGCUCCUUGGAAAAUAAUGCCAGUUCUUGAAACUUUCUUAAAAUGGGUCUCAUUCUGCUUCUCAGAAUAACAAUAACUCUUGGCCUGGUAGAGGCCAGACUGAGAGUUUAUUAUUAUGAUGAAACACCAAAAUUAAACUAAAUACAUUUUAGCAUUUUUACAUGGCUUAAUGCUGAGUUUGUAAGCUAUUGGUUUAAACAUUAAAGUUGUCUACUUUUAAGGGAAUAAUUUAAGAUGACACAUGAUGUAGUUGCCAAACAAGCCGUGUUUCCUGAAGAUGGAUUAACAAGUGCUCCUGGGCCUCAGGUACGUGGGUUUACAUGCCUUCCUUAGUCAGAGAGGGUGCUCUGUCUUGGCAACACAAAUCUGAACCACACAACUGAACUUUCGACUGAAAUUCAAUUAAAUAAUCAUUUAAUUUAAAAAAUCAGUCAGAUGGCGUUUGUGGUGAAGAUCAAAUUGCUUGUGAUUGAAAUUUUGACUCCUGUCUGGUGUCAUGACAUGGUGUAGGCAAAGGCACACUGCACACACACGAGUGCACACAUGAGCAUAUACACAUGCACGCACACGCGAGAUGCAUGGGCACACACAUGAUAGUGAGCACAUGCACAUAUGUGCACACACAUGCUCAUGCAGGUGUGCACAUGUACACAGCACACACUCAUACGUACACAUGUACAUGCAUACAUGCACAGGCACAUGCACAUACACAUGUUACACACAUGCAUGCAAACACACAUACAAACACACACGGCCUCCUGGGUGGUGUCUGAGGGCCAGGCCAGCAGCCCUGCCUGGGGCAUCCAGGACCCCAGUUGGAAACUGUCCAGGGUAGUGUGGCCUGGCUGUGGACUGGUGCGUCCCCUUGGUGCAGCGAUGUAGGAUCUGCGCAUGGGGAGCAUACCUCGGAGGGUAGCUGGUGGGGGCUGAGCUGCACGUAGGCCCUCACUCUGUCACAUGCAGGUGGGGCAGGUUGGUGGGUGGCCCCUCACCCAGGUGCCAGCACAGCGCAGCUACAUCAGAGCUGCAUUGGGGUUGGGGCGAGUGCAGGGGCCAGACUGAGCUCCUGGGUACCCAGGGGGUCUGUGUUAUGCAGACUGCUGCGGCUUGGUUGGUGCUGACCUCCUAGGUCAUCUUUGGGUCUAGCUUCCCCUCUGAACAAGGGCUGCAUGCACGCAUGCUGUCCCCGGUGCCCUCAAAGUUAUUAUUGCCCCAAAGCACUGUUUCUCUCCAAGAUAUGAAAGAAAAUGAAUAAACGAUGUAGACCUUACGAAAAAUGACUUCUGG
Molecule: long non-coding RNA, 3064 nt
Filed under: Equus caballus (horse)
Lineage: Eukaryota; Metazoa; Chordata; Mammalia; Perissodactyla; Equidae
Description: lncRNA (ENSECAG00000045787.1)
Source: RNAcentral